Molecule: unclassified non-coding RNA, 254 nt
Filed under: Hevea brasiliensis (rubber tree)
Lineage: Eukaryota; Viridiplantae; Streptophyta; Magnoliopsida; Malpighiales; Euphorbiaceae
Source: RNAcentral
GAGUCUGUACCUCUUCAUUGGAAAUAUCCCAGUGAUAGCACUAUCUUCAGAAACACUUACAGCCUCAGAUACAUUUGUUUGUUGUCUAGCGGAGCCCAACCUUUUUCCUUCACGCCCUUUAGUUGGGAGGCCAUGCAGCUUCCAACAUUGUUUUUUGGUGUGCCAGGAUUUCCUACGGUGGUCACAAUGCAAGUGAUCCUUGUCCGAUGGACCAUGUGACUGUUCUCGUGAGGAGUUAGCAGUCAGCCCAGCCU